RNAcentral lists this ribosomal RNA (2096 nucleotides) under Serratia symbiotica SCt-VLC. RNAcentral's name for it is "bacterial LSU rRNA". It matches the Rfam family "Bacterial large subunit ribosomal RNA", at positions 861 to 2925 of the family's 2925-position model. Lineage: Bacteria; Pseudomonadati; Pseudomonadota; Gammaproteobacteria; Enterobacterales; Yersiniaceae. The record is from RNAcentral.
GAAAGCUAUUUAGGUAGCGCCUCGUGAAUUCAUCUUCGGGGGUAGAGCACUGUUUCGGCUAGGGGGCCAUCCCAGCUUACCAACCCGAUGCAAACUGCGAAUACCGAAGCAUGUUAUCACGGGAGACACACGGCGGGUGCUAACGUCCGUCGUGAAGAGGGAAACAACCCAGACCGCCAGCUAAGGUCCCAAAGUCAUGGUUAAGUGGGAAACGAUGUGGGAAGGCCCAGACAGCCAGGAUGUUGGCUUAGAAGCAGCCAUCAUUGAAAGAAAGCGUAAUAGCUCACUGGUCGAGUCGGCCUGCGCGGAAGAUGUAACGGGGCUAAACCAUGCACCGAAGCUGCGGCAGCGGCGCUGAUGCGUUGUUGGGUAGGGGAGCGUUCUGUAAGCCGUUGAAGGUGUCCUGUGAGGGCCGCUGGAGGUAUCAGAAGUGCGAAUGCUGACAUAAGUAACGAUAAAGCGGGUGAAAAACCCGCUCGCCGGAAGACCAAGGGUUCCUGUCCAACGUUAAUCGGGGCAGGGUGAGUCGACCCCUAAGGCGAGGCUGAAAAGCGUAGUCGAUGGGCAACAGGUUAAUAUUCCUGUACUGGGUGUGACUGCGAAGGGGGGACGGAGAAGGCUAGGCAGGCCGGGCGACGGUUGUCCCGGUUUAAGCGUGUAGGGGGGAGUUUUGGGUAAAUCCGGAACGCCAUACACAAACCCUGAGGCGUGAUGACGAUGCACCAAGGUGCAGAAGCUGUUGAUGCCCUGCUUCCAGGAAAAGCCUCUAAGCAUCAGGUCACCUUUAAUCGUACCCCAAACCGACACAGGUGGUCAGGUAGAGAAUACCGAGGCGCUUGAGAGAACUCGGGUGAAGGAACUAGGCAAAAUGGUGCCGUAACUUCGGGAGAAGGCACGCUGGCAUGUAGGUGAAUUCCGUAUCGGAGGGAGCUAAAGCCAGUCGCAGAGACCAGCUGGCUGCAACUGUUUAAUAAAAACACAGCACUGUGCCAACACGAAAGUGGACGUAUACGGUGUGACGCCUGCCCGGUGCUGGAAGGUUAAUUGAUGGGGUUAGCCGCAAGGCGAAGCUCUUGAUCGAAGCCCCAGUAAACGGCGGCCGUAACUAUAACGGUCCUAAGGUAGCGAAAUUCCUUGUCGGGUAAGUUCCGACCUGCACGAAUGGCGUAAUGAUGGCCAGGCUGUCUCCACCCGAGACUCAGUGAAAUUGAACUCGCUGUGAAGAUGCAGUGUACCCGCGGCAAGACGGAAAGACCCCGUGAACCUUUACUAUAGCUUGACACUGAACAUGGAGCCUUGAUGUGUAGGAUAGGUGGGAGGCAGUGAAUCGUGGACGCCAGUCUGCGAGGAGCCACCCUUGAAAUACCACCCUUUAAUGUUUGAUGUUCUAACUUUGCCCCGUGACCCGGGGUAAGGACAGUGUCUGGUGGGUAGUUUGACUGGGGCGGUCUCCUCCCAAAGAGUAACGGAGGAGCACGAAGGUCAGCUAAUCACGGUCGGACAUCGUGAGUUUAGUGCAAAGGCAUAAGCUGGCUUGACUGCGAGAGUGACGGCUCGAGCAGGUACGAAAGUAGGUCUUAGUGAUCCGGUGGUUCUGAAUGGAAGGGCCAUCGCUCAACGGAUAAAAGGUACUCCGGGGAUAACAGGCUGAUACCGCCCAAGAGUUCAUAUCGACGGCGGUGUUUGGCACCUCGAUGUCGGCUCAUCACAUCCUGGGGCUGAAGUAGGUCCCAAGGGUAUGGCUGUUCGCCAUUUAAAGUGGUACGCGAGCUGGGUUUAGAACGUCGUGAGACAGUUCGGUCCCUAUCUGCCGUGGGCGUAGGAAGAUUGAGAGGGAUUGCUCCUAGUACGAGAGGACCGGAGUGAACGCACCGCUGGUGUUCGGGUUGUCAUGCCAAUGGCAUUGCCCGGUAGCUAAGUGCGGAACAGAUAAGCGCUGAAAGCAUCUAAGCGCGAAACUGGCCUCGAGAUGAGUCUUCCUUGGGUCUGAGAGGUCCCUGAAGGCACGUUUAAGACGAAGACGUGGAUAGGCUGGGUGUGUAAGAGCAGCGAUGCUUUGAGCUAACCAGUACUAAUGAGCCGUGAGGCUUAACCUU